AGCAGCCGCGGUAAUUCCAGCUCCAAUAGCGUAUAUUAAAGUUGUUGCAGUUAAAAAGCUCGUAGUUGAAUUUCGGGGUUAGUAGGUUGGUCGUGCCACUGGUACGCACUGGUCUUACUGAUUCCUCCUUCCUGAUGAACCGUAAUGCCAUUAAUUUGGUGUUGCGGGGAAACUGGACUGUUACUUUGAAAAAUUAGAGUGUUUAAAGCAAGCUAACGCUUGAAUACAUUAGCAUGGAAUAAUGAAAUAGGACGAUCGAUCCUAUUUUGUUGGUUUCUAGGAUUGACGUAAUGAUUAAUAGGGAUAGUUGGGGGCAUUAGUAUUCAAUUGUCAGAGGUGAAAUUCUUGGAUUUAUUGAAGACUAACUACUGCGAAAGCAUUUGCCAAGGAUGUUUUCAUUAAUCAAGAACGAAAGUUAGGGGAUCGAAGACGAUCAGAUACCGUCGUAGUCUUAACCAUAAACUAUGCCGACUAGGGAUCGGAUGAUGUUAAUUUUUUAAUGUACUCAUUCGGCGUCUUA
This 520-nucleotide ribosomal RNA is filed under the name uncultured Glomus. RNAcentral's name for it is "SSU rRNA". It matches the Rfam family "Eukaryotic small subunit ribosomal RNA", at positions 569 to 1090 of the family's 1831-position model. The record is from RNAcentral. Lineage: Eukaryota; Fungi; Glomeromycota; Glomeromycetes; Glomerales; Glomeraceae.